This 65-nucleotide transfer RNA is filed under the name Ixodes scapularis (black-legged tick). It matches the Rfam family "tRNA". From Rfam's summary of the family: Transfer RNA (tRNA) molecules are approximately 80 nucleotides in length. The record is from Rfam by way of RNAcentral. Lineage: Eukaryota; Metazoa; Arthropoda; Arachnida; Ixodida; Ixodidae.
GCAGUCGUGGCCGAGUGGUUAAGGCGAUGCACUAGAAAUCCACAGGUUCGAUCCUGUCGACUGCG